CAAAGCUCUGUGUGGACUAUACCUGAAACAUACUAGGUAAAAGUGUUAGUCCAAGAGACAAUGUAUGUUGUCAUGAAUUAUCAAAACCACCAAGGGAGUGUAUGUGCUUUCAAUCUCCCCCUUUUUGGUAAUUGAUGACAACAUACAAUCAAAGCUUCAAAUAAAUAUAUGCAUUAAAAUAUGACAGAUUUGAAGGAUACAUGACUAGUACAAGCUCCCCCUAGAUGCGUGCAAUCCCUUUUUAAAGGAUAGUUGCUUUGGACUGCAUGGGCACACACAUGGUAGAAAGACAAGACGAGCCAUAUAAAUCUUGGCUAUAUGCAUCAAACAUAUGUAAAUGUAGAACUUCCAUGUUCAAGACUCACACUUGUAAACAAUAUGUGCAAGAGACAAGAGAUCAUCAUGAACAAUGACAUGAUGCAUAUACUUACCUUGAGGUUCUUGAGGGUCUUAGAAAUGGGAUUACACUUGGGAAAACAAAUGUUAGAUAAUACAAGAGUAUUCUAUUGUAAAGAUGCAUAGAGCUUCAAAAGUACCAACACAUUUAAGAUAUAUGAGAAAUCUGAUUUGAUGAUAAAUAUGUCUCCAAGAGAAUUUAGAACUUUCUUCCAUGAGGAUGAAUAUCAAAGAAUUUACUCUCGCCGUGAAUCAUAACAUAUAGAUACUGGGAGUAGGUAAGGCCAGACAAGUUCAAUCAAAAUAUAGUGAUGGGAUAGUGAUAUCUGAAACAAUAUUAUCUCUCUCCCUCUUAAUAUGUAAGGUUUGAUACAUCUCCCUUUAGGUAGAUCUCCCCUUAGGCAGACCUUCACUUAGGAACAUAUAUCUCCCAUGUUGAUAUUUCUCCCCAUUUAUGUAAGCUUAUUGGUGUUAUUGCUCCCCCUUAUAUAGGUUUAUUAGAAGCUUUGAUAUUUCUCCCCCUUUGGCAUUAAUUUCCAAAAAGGUGAGAGGGUAAGGGCUCAUUGAGAGAAAGGGAUCCUUGAUACUUCUCUCUUUGAUAAGGGUUCCUCGAAUUUUACUUUUCUCCCCCUUGAUAGUAGGUAAGGGUUCAUUGAAUGUUCUCC
RNAcentral lists this long non-coding RNA (1061 nucleotides) under Hordeum vulgare. RNAcentral's name for it is "long non-coding RNA (HVUL_LNC005095)". Lineage: Eukaryota; Viridiplantae; Streptophyta; Magnoliopsida; Poales; Poaceae. The record is from RNAcentral.